Camelus dromedarius (Arabian camel) is the source of this 75-nucleotide small nucleolar RNA. The record is from Ensembl. NCBI's taxonomy places the organism in Eukaryota, Metazoa, Chordata, Mammalia, Artiodactyla, Camelidae.
UGGAUCGAUGAUGAUAUAUGCCAGCGUAUGAGUCAUCGAUGACGAAUAACAUGUGUCUGGAACUCUGAGGUCCAA